AUUUGAAAUCUGGCGUCUUCGGCGUCCGAGUUGUAAUUUGAAGAAGGUAACUUUGGGGCUGGUCCUUGUCUAUGUUCCUUGGAACAGGACGUCAUAGAGGGUGAGAAUCCCGUGUGGCGAGGAUCCCAGUCCUUUGUAAAGUGCUUUCGACGAGUCGAGUUGUUUGGGAAUGCAGCUCUAAGUGGGUGGUAAAUUCCAUCUAAAGCUAAAUAUUGGCGAGAGACCGAUAGCGAACAAGUACAGUGAUGGAAAGAUGAAAAGAACUUUGAAAAGAGAGUGAAAAAGUACGUGAAAUUGUUGAAAGGGAAGGGCAUUUGAUCAGACAUGGCGUUUGCUUCGGCUUUCGCUGGGCCAGCAUCAGUUUUGGCGGUUGGAUAAAUCCUCGGGAAUGUGGCUCUACUUGUAGAGUGUUAUAGCCCGUGGGAAUACAGCCAGCUGGGACU
RNAcentral lists this ribosomal RNA (443 nucleotides) under Kluyveromyces nonfermentans. RNAcentral's name for it is "eukaryotic LSU rRNA". It matches the Rfam family "Eukaryotic large subunit ribosomal RNA", at positions 113 to 588 of the family's 3401-position model. The record is from RNAcentral. Lineage: Eukaryota; Fungi; Ascomycota; Saccharomycetes; Saccharomycetales; Saccharomycetaceae.